AUACGUAGGGGGCGAGCGUUGUCCGGAAUGAUUGGGCGUAAAGGGCGCGUAGGCGGCCCGGUAAGUCUGGAGUGAAAGUCCUGUUUUUAAGAUGGGAAUUGCUUUGGAUACUGCAGUGCUAGAGUGCGGAAGAGGUAAGUGGAAUUCCCAGUGUAGCGGUGAAAUGCGUAGAGAUUGGGAGGAACACCAGUGGCGAAGGCGACUUACUGGGCCGUAACUGACGCUGAGGCGCGAAAGCGUGGGGAGCGAACAGGAUUAGAUACCCUGGUAGUCCACGCGGUAAACGAUGAAUGCUAGGUGUUGCGGGUAUCGACCCCUGCAGUGCCGGAGUAAACACAAUAAGCAUUCCGCCUGGGGAGUACGGCCGCAAGGUUGAAACUCAAAUGAAUCGACGGGG
This 397-nucleotide ribosomal RNA is filed under the name uncultured bacterium. RNAcentral describes it as "partial 16S ribosomal RNA". It matches the Rfam family "Bacterial small subunit ribosomal RNA", at positions 523 to 918 of the family's 1533-position model. The record is from RNAcentral.